Molecule: long non-coding RNA, 680 nt
Filed under: Gossypium barbadense (sea-island cotton)
Lineage: Eukaryota; Viridiplantae; Streptophyta; Magnoliopsida; Malvales; Malvaceae
Description: long non-coding RNA (GBAR_LNC023368)
Source: RNAcentral
UUUAGUUGCCUUUUAGGAGAUUAUAUUAGUAUUUUUAUAACACUGCAUCAUGAAGCUUGGAUUGUGCUUUCAAUGUCACUAGAUGUUACUUUUACUUGUGGAGGAAAGUAAUUGUGUGUUGUUUAUAACAGGUCAAAAAGAAGGAAAAGUAAAAAAAGUGAAGUUUUAUCUUGACAAAAGGUUGGAUAGAUUGCCAGCACAAAUGCCAUGAAAAUUCCAAGAAGAUGCUGACUUAGUAGUCAAUCCAUGCCGCUCUCAGCCAGUUAUACUUGUACUAGAAAUAUCCACCUAAAAAAGAGGGAGAAAAGAGUGUAUGUUGAGAGGAUGACCUAUCUUAUAAAUAGAAGAAAGAGAAAGAAAGGAAGGAGGUAGUUUUUCCUCUCACAUAAUUUUUCGUGGGAGAUCCAGAGAUGCAAAAAAAGUGGGUAGCAGCUAAUGAACAGAGCAACAACACAAGGAAGAAGGAGAAGCAUUCAACCCUGGGCUUUGCAAGAUAUUGUAGCACUGUAGUUGAAAGCUGGAUUGGCAAAAACUUCCUGAAGUUCUUCCUUUAUUAUCUUAAUUGGAUUUUGUGAAUUUUAACUGUGGAAAUAUGUUGUUGAAUGAUACUUUCAUUUUGGAUUUUAAUUCCCAACUCAUGAGCUAAUCUCAUCGAGUUGGGAUUACUGGAUGAAUAUUUA